CUAUGGUGUACAACUCUCUUACCUCAGAUUCACAGUCAGUGAAGGAGUAGAUAGAGAUGUCAUCAGAGUUGGAGGAUGAGAUGACCCCAUCAUAAUUUCUCUCCAUCAGCCGAGUCACCCUUCCAGACUGAGGAGACAGACAAAGGCAUGUACUUAGGGCAGCCAUAAAAUACACUGGCAUUGACUGCCAAGAAAAUGUAGAAUAUUUAGGCAAUCCAACAUAGUUGUACAAGUAGUGAGUAAUUCAUGGGUUAUUGAAAAUGCAAGUGUAUUGAAAUGCAAUAAAUGCAACUCCCAUAACAUUAGGGAUGGGACUAAAGACCUUCCACACUGUAGGAUUCUUUAGCAUUUCCAAUGAAUGAUUGUCAAUUCAACCAAGCCAACCAAAAUGGCCAUAUGAAUCAACAGAUUGAUCUAUCUGUUGUGUCUCUAUGGGAACAGCAGAGAUGUCUGACCUGGCUCAGAGGCUCUGGAUUGAUGUCCCGUCCAUCCCAAGAUGUCUGUUCCUGCCCACAGCUCUCAAUGAUUGGCUGUGAACAGUAAAGAAAAAAUGUCGGAUUUGACUUACAGGCCUUGGUCUUCUGUGCACCUUACCGGUUGGCCACAUCACAGAAUCAGGGGUGUUCACCCUCACUGGAUUCAACUGUCAACACAACACUCCAUUUAAAAUGUGAUGACAAAGACAGAACACAAACUAAAUAAAUUGGUAUUUACCACAUAAGGGCGGCGCCUUAAAGCUCUUUUGAUUCUCUCAUCACUACGGUCCAUCUUGCUUUCUGAGGGAUACAUUUUCAUCAACUGAUUGGCACAAAACAUAUCCUAACACACACACACACACACACACACACAGACAAAUGGCACGCCAUUCCCUAUAUAGUGCACUUACUUUGACUUGUGCCCAUAUAGUGCACUUAUUUUGAUCUGAGCCCACUGGGGAUAGGUCAAAAGUAGUACACUACAGGGUGCCAUUUGGGACCUCUCCAAAGAAUGUAAGAGCCUACCAGACAUUCUAAACGCCAAAUCACCUUGUGCAGUGCGAACGGGUCUAACCAACCGUUUCCAAUCGUAGUAUUCUCUGCACAGCGUCAGCUAGGGCAGACUAUGCGGCAAAAGAUUAC
Molecule: long non-coding RNA, 1118 nt
Filed under: Salmo salar (Atlantic salmon)
Lineage: Eukaryota; Metazoa; Chordata; Actinopteri; Salmoniformes; Salmonidae
Description: lncRNA (ENSSSAG00000086056.1)
Source: RNAcentral